UCGGAGUAGCUCAGUUAGUUAGAGCACAGCUCUUGUUGCGGGUUCGAAUCCCGUUUACACUCCGAA
This 66-nucleotide transfer RNA is filed under the name Chitinophagaceae bacterium. Its description in RNAcentral is "tRNA-OTHER". The record is from RNAcentral. Lineage: Bacteria; Pseudomonadati; Bacteroidota; Chitinophagia; Chitinophagales; Chitinophagaceae.